CCCCAAACAGGAAUGGGAAGACAGAUGGCUCCAUUUUCAGUCUUUCGAGAUUCAGUAUGCAGCUGACGUGGGCACACUUCCCUCACAAACAUGGGCCCUACUGCUAAGAUUCCGGACAUCAGCCUACAGCCAAUCAUGGCUGUACAGCCUUUGACCUCCACAGAUGACUCAAUGCCACCUAUGGAACAAGGAAGGAUGGGGAGAGACAGAUGUUUUAGGAAAUCAGACGAGAGUCCAGUCCUCCCUCAUCCCUGGAGAGCUCAGUGUCAGAAUCUCUUGGGAGCCACUCAAAUAUCUGGUUUUCCAGCCUCUGAAACUAUCACAUGUUCAUUUCAGUUUACCUCCAGUGAUCUCAAGUUUUCCUUGAUAGCAUCGAGUUGUACCAUUGGGACAGGGAAGAGAAGGAGCAUUGAAACAAGUCCCCAAAGCCACACAGGUUGGGCAAUGGAGGGUUGCUGACACAGUGGAAGCUGGAGGGAAACAAAAGAGAUGGUUAAGGGCAGGUCCUGUAUCCAGAGAUGUCGUUCGUUGCUGCCUUCUCUUCCCCAGGUUUUUCCUGCAGACGCCACUCUAAUCGAGGCCCUUUACUGCAGCCUCCCCAUCCUUCCCCAGCUGGUGUUCUCUGCUCUGAAAUCUCCAUCUGUCGGACUUCCAAACUCUGUGCUGAGGUGUGAAGAUACAGAGAUGAAAACAACAUAGUUCCUGUCAUCUAGCAUCUCUAAGAGAAAGACAUCUCUAGGUUCGCUGGGGAGAAAACGAGAAGAUAAGCACUCCUCCAUGGGCCAAGGCAGCUCCUUUUUCAUCAUCGAUCCACGACUUCUGUGACACGACUGCUCUCCCCGAUGUCCCGCAUACGCACAGGUCAGGAAGGAGGUUCCUAGGACCAGGAGGAUCAGCAAAUGCUGGAUACCAGGGGUUCCCAUGGCUUCUUCCGGAGAGGUUUGGGAAGAGCUGGUCGGAAUCUGUGAAUGUGAUGGAGAGAACGCAACUUGACAGCCAGAGCAUAAGCAAAAUUCCCGCCGGCUUCCAAACGACGCCCUCACAAGAACCUGACGACGCGGAAGGCGCGGACUGGAACGCCUCCUCCCCGGGCCGGGCCUUCUCUUACCACGGAAGGCGGGGCCAGCCUGGCCACACAGAACUCGAAACUCCAUUGGUGGAUGCCAAAGCACUGGUGGCCCCUGCGCAGCCCAGCGUUGUCCUCUGAUUGUACCAUUGCCCCAGCCUCCUCGUGAUCGGGCUGAAUCCAGGAAUGCCCGUUUCAGCAUCACUUCGGGCACCCUGAACGCAUGCAUGAGCAGUAGCUGUGAUGGGACAGGCUGCUGUCAGAUGGAACCCACGUGUCCGCGUCAGGACCAUGA
Non-coding RNA from Saimiri boliviensis boliviensis (Bolivian squirrel monkey), 1361 nucleotides. The record is from RefSeq and is a predicted model, not a curated record. Lineage: Eukaryota; Metazoa; Chordata; Mammalia; Primates; Cebidae.